RNAcentral lists this ribosomal RNA (497 nucleotides) under uncultured bacterium. RNAcentral's name for it is "partial 16S ribosomal RNA". It matches the Rfam family "Bacterial small subunit ribosomal RNA", at positions 28 to 507 of the family's 1533-position model. The record is from RNAcentral.
GAUGAACGCUGGCGGCGUGCCUAAUACAUGCAAGUCGAGCGAACGGACGAGAAGCUUGCUUCUCUGAUGUUAGCGGCGGACGGGUGAGUAACACGUGGAUAACCUACCUAUAAGACUGGGAUAACUUCGGGAAACCGGAGCUAAUACCGGAUAAUAUUUUGAACCGCAUGGUUCAAUAGUGAAAGACGGUCUUGCUGUCACUUAUAGAUGGAUCCGCGCUGCAUUAGCUAGUUGGUAAGGUAACGGCUUACCAAGGCGACGAUGCAUAGCCGACCUGAGAGGGUGAUCGGCCACACUGGAACUGAGACACGGUCCAGACUCCUACGGGAGGCAGCAGUAGGGAAUCUUCCGCAAUGGGCGAAAGCCUGACGGAGCAACGCCGCGUGAGUGAUGAAGGUCUUCGGAUCGUAAAACUCUGUUAUUAGGGAAGAACAAAUGUGUAAGUAACUGUGCACAUCUUGACGGUACCUAAUCAGAAAGCCACGGCUAACUACGUG